RNAcentral lists this ribosomal RNA (333 nucleotides) under uncultured bacterium. RNAcentral describes it as "bacterial SSU rRNA". It matches the Rfam family "Bacterial small subunit ribosomal RNA", at positions 568 to 898 of the family's 1533-position model. The record is from RNAcentral.
CACGUAGGCGGAUAGAUGUGUCAUAGGUGAAAUCCCCGGGCUCAACCUGGGAACUGCCUGUGAAACUGUGUAUCUAGAAUAGAGUAGAGGUAAGUGGAAUUUCCGGUGUAGCGGUGAAAUGCGUAGAUAUCGGAAAGAACACCAGUGGCGAAGGCGACUUACUGGACUCAUAUUGACGCUGAGGUGCGAAAGCGUGGGGAGCAAACGGGAUUAGAUACCCCGGUAGUCCACGCUGUAAACGAUGAGAACUAGACGCAUGGUGGCUAAGGCUAUUGUGUGUUGAAGCAAACGCGUUAAGUUCUCCGCCUGGGGGAGUACGGCCGCAAGGUUAAA